GCAAAACCUUUUAGUGUCUAGUAUCUCAAUUGGCACAUCAUCGCUUUUCCAACCUAUCCCAAUGGUUAAAUUGAUUCAAAAACUAGGCCUGACUCACAGAAUGAAGUAAGAAAGUCCAUACCUUGAAAGGAAGCUUCAAAGCUGCAUUGCAAGUAUAUUGUCUUAUUGCCUUAAUGGAGGAGGCUCACCACCAGAUCCAGUAAAGAAGACCCCCGAGUUCAAUCUGGC
This 228-nucleotide long non-coding RNA is filed under the name Fukomys damarensis (Damara mole-rat). RNAcentral describes it as "lncRNA (ENSFDAG00000026605.1)". The record is from RNAcentral. Lineage: Eukaryota; Metazoa; Chordata; Mammalia; Rodentia; Bathyergidae.